CAGUCGCCACGGGAAUACGGAGGGAGCUAGCGUUGUUCGGAAUUACUGGGCGUAAAGCGCACGUAGGCGGUUAUUCAAGUCAGAGGUGAAAGCCCGGGGCUCAACCCCGGAACUGCCUUUGAAACUAGAUGACUAGAAUCUUGGAGAGGUCAGUGGAAUUCCGAGUGUAGAGGUGAAAUUCGUAGAUAUUCGGAAGAACACCAGUGGCGAAGGCGACUGACUGGACAAGUAUUGACGCUGAGGUGCGAAAGCGUGGGGAGCAAACAGGAUUAGAUACCCGCGUAGUCCCUGUCUCUUAUAC
RNAcentral lists this ribosomal RNA (301 nucleotides) under uncultured bacterium. Its description in RNAcentral is "partial 16S ribosomal RNA". It matches the Rfam family "Bacterial small subunit ribosomal RNA", at positions 509 to 807 of the family's 1533-position model. The record is from RNAcentral.